AGCUUUGCACAGUGGCAGUAUCGUAGCCAAUGAGGUUUAUCCAAGGCGUGAUUAUUGCUAAUUGAAAACUUUUCCCAAAAAGUGGACCAAAGAACAAAACAGACAUUUCUACAAAGAA
This 118-nucleotide small nuclear RNA is filed under the name Cervus hanglu yarkandensis (Yarkand deer). RNAcentral describes it as "U4 spliceosomal RNA (ENSCHYG00000017680.1)". It matches the Rfam family "U4 spliceosomal RNA". Rfam says of the family: U4 small nuclear RNA (U4 snRNA) is a component of the major U2-dependent spliceosome. The structure of U4 snRNA from yeast and human has been reported. The record is from Rfam by way of RNAcentral. Lineage: Eukaryota; Metazoa; Chordata; Mammalia; Artiodactyla; Cervidae.